Maylandia zebra (zebra mbuna) is the source of this 562-nucleotide long non-coding RNA. RefSeq lists it as uncharacterized. NCBI's taxonomy places the organism in Eukaryota, Metazoa, Chordata, Actinopteri, Cichliformes, Cichlidae. The record is from RefSeq and is a predicted model, not a curated record.
GUGAUAUCAGUCCUCCACAGCAACAAGGAAAGGUUCGGAGUCAUCCAGAUAAAAUGAGAUUCAUUGUCUUGAUCACCAUCAUCGUCACUGUAGCCCUUAUUGAUGGGGGCAGCAGCAUGACCGCGGGGCCUUCAUCACCGUGUCAGGACAAAAGUCCAAAAAGUCAUUAUGAAGAAUUUGUAAGCAGACACAUCCUUCAAGAGGAAUUUGACAGAAAUUCCCUAGAUGCUUGGAAAAGGUAUUUGAAAAAAGAACACCUCUGGUGCAGAACUACAGUGCAAUCGUUCCUCAAUAAAAGUGAUCUGGAGACCGUGAACAGAAUCUGCAGCAAAGACGGGCGACGCUUAAGCAAGACGGAUAACUAUGCAGGGAACUUGUGCAUCAGCAACUCAGAAAUGCUGAUAUAUGACAUCGCAUCCAGGAAAAGGAACAAGGAUUGUAAAAUUAAAAUUGGUGCAAAGAAAAGGGUUGUGAUUGUGGCAUGCGACAAGGUUGGAAACCAAUGUCUCCCUGUUCAUUUUCAGAAAUAUGAACACCAGAGAGCAAGCAAUAUACCCUGCAG